Long non-coding RNA from Equus caballus (horse), 1814 nucleotides. NCBI's taxonomy places the organism in Eukaryota, Metazoa, Chordata, Mammalia, Perissodactyla, Equidae. The record is from Ensembl.
AAGCAGAGGCAAAUAACUCUGGGCUCUGCAGGAGCCAGCGCACCAGAGGGCCCCUCUCUCCUCCCCACCUGCCCCAUCAGCCUCAACGCAUCUCACCGCCGACUGGGAGAAGUACAAGCUCCAGGAAACAAUCAAGAGAGGCCACUGGUUACUACAGAGAGAAGAAAGGGUCUGGGAGCGGGGAGAGGGAGAAUUACAAUGUGACUCCUCAAGCUAGUCCACUUCCAGCGCAUCUUCUCAACCUUGGCCUGAGCUAAUGAACCUCAGAGAGCAAAGCUGUCUUUUGUUUGUUUGUCAUUUUGAGGUUUUCUGGUUGAUUAAGAUCUACGCCAGCAGGAGGGUAUACAAUCACCAGCAAUUCUUAGCUGGAGGAUCACAGGGCAUUUUCAUCCCCUCCUGACAAAAUGCUGAACUUCUUAUCAGAAUGCUGUCCCAUCCACUUUAGAUGAGAGAAACUGUUAAAAGGAUUUUUUUUUUUCUUUCUCCUUUUCCAUUUGAAUUGUUAUUUUUUUCCUCCUCUUAUCAUUUUCUGCUUUGUUUCACACCCCCUGUAAAUCAAGUUUCUUUUAAAAGAGCAAAAAUUGAAUUCCUAGUUACAGACAAAAACUACAAAUGAAUCUCACUCUGAAUGAGGCCAAAGGAAGAAAAAGAAAUCUCUUAGCGGGUGACACUUGGAGGUUUACUCUUCCUCAUCAAACCCUGGUCUUCCUUUUUCCGUGGAUUGUUUUGUCAGCCCCAACCAAUACCCAACCUGCGUCCUUGAAACCCCUGCCUCCUGCUGGAGAAAGAACUCAGACUUCAGAGCCUCAUUCUUCUGGGGGAACGUAAUUAUCUAAACUGGCAUGGAUCCCGAAUUCAGCUCCUCCAUGAAAAGGAUUUCUUAUGAAAGAUUAAGUGGUAACACAUAUGUCGACAGCGCUCCCAGCCCUGGAGUAAUUCUGUGCAAACAAGAAAAUGGCAACAGUUCCUGUUUCCAAUCUGAAAACUCUCCCUGGGUCUCUUUUGGCCCCAGGUGGCACAGAGCUCUUGAAUUUGUUCAGGUGUUUUGUCUCGGGAGCCAAGAGACAGGUGAGGGGGGAAGAACAGGCUUAUUCACCGUGAGCGUUAAGGGAAUGGGAGCCAGGGAAGCAGCUGGCCAGCAGGCAGCCAUAGGAGGCCGGCUGAUUUAGGGACGCUGCACAGGCCACCAGGCCUGUUUCUUGCAGCCUUUGGCCUUAGCCGGCAUGGCAACACUGCCCUCUGCUGGAGCAGCUCAGUCAUCGCGCCCCGCCCGAGAUUGGAUGGUCAAGGACAAUGCUGGGAACAUGGUGGGGAGAAGAAGGAUUUGACAAGACUGAGACAAGGCCCAAAUGCAGUAACUGGAAUGAAAACACGAUCCAAGCCAUCAUCUCAUUUUCAGUGGAUAACGACUAUCCACAGUUGGAAAAAUAUUUCAAAGGAAGAAAAUGCAAAAUUGCGGCAUAUAUAAUACGCAUUUAUUUCUUCCUAGCCUGAGAAAUGUAUGGAAUUAUUGAAAUGUCUACCACUGUGAUAGCUCAAAUCAGCGACAAUGGCCACAUUUUGUUGCAUCAACAUCCCUGAUGGGAAGCUGGCACCAAUGCCAGGGUAGCAGCUGAUCUGCAUGUCUAUUUACAUAAAUUUGCAUUGGUGUGAUGUUAAAAAAUAAAUGCUGAUAUUAAGGAAAGUGGUUUUCCCCCAGACAAGUCAUCUCAACAGAGCGCAGCCGUGAAAAGCACAGGCUUUGAAAUCGGGCCUGUUUCCUUCUAUUUGUGUGACCUUGAAUGAGUUAUAACCUUGCUGUACUGUUUCCUUAU